CCCUUAGAUGUUCUGGGCUGCACGCGCGCUACACUGAUGCAUUCAACGAGUCUAAAACCUGGUCUGAUAGGGCUGGGUAAUCUUUUGAAAGUGCAUCGUGAUUGGGAUAGAUGAUUGCAAUUCUUCAUCUUCAACGAGGAAUGCCUAGUAAACGCAAGUCAUCAGCUUGCAUUGAUUACGUCCCUGCCCUUUGUACACACCGCCCGUCGCUCCUACCGAUUGAAUGAUCCGAUGAAUACCAUGGAUUGAGAGUACGAAUGGGUUCGCUCAUUUCUGCUGCUCGAGAAGUGGAGUAAAUCUUAUCAUUUAGAGGAAGGAGAAGUCGUAACA
Molecule: ribosomal RNA, 330 nt
Filed under: uncultured eukaryote
Lineage: Eukaryota
Description: partial 18S ribosomal RNA
Rfam family: Eukaryotic small subunit ribosomal RNA
Source: RNAcentral